RNAcentral lists this long non-coding RNA (6594 nucleotides) under Homo sapiens (human). RNAcentral describes it as "HSALNT0252147". Lineage: Eukaryota; Metazoa; Chordata; Mammalia; Primates; Hominidae. The record is from RNAcentral.
CCCACCUGGAAGUCAUACAAUUCUUUGGCCUUCUGGGCUGAUUAUCAAAUGGUCUUCCUCUAAGGCCACUUAACAGCCAGUACUAAGGCACAGAUGUUGCAGAACUUUGACAAUAACCAGUCAUUCUUUCUGAACAAAAAACAAAUUUCUUUGCUUACGUGAUAAUAUUUUAGAGUCUGCGUGAAAGUCUUACAUUCAGAGAAACGCCACAGUUCUGGCACCAGGAAUGAAGGCGCCAUCUGGCCCCUCUUGGGCUCCUUGGCUUGAAUUCCUGGGGUCAUUGUUACACUCAGCAUUCUCUAGGCGAAGGAGAACAAUAAGAGGCAGGUAAAGCUGGAGCCCGUAACAGGAGGAAACGUGAGCAUUGAAAACCCGCCCUUUGGAUGAACUGACCACAGCUGGACAACACCAGUGCCAGGCCAGGGUUCCAAGCACUGCAGAGAUGAAGCACCUUCUUCCAGGAGUUCCUGGAGUUCUCAGAAGCCAGAGUGGACUUGUUCCUCCGUUUUAUUUGAUGAGGUUCUAAAUAUAGCUGGGCAAGGCUUCGGAUUUUAGUGGGAGAUGGCCAGAGGCGAAGCAACUGAUAAAAGUAGCUGAAUAGCUCUCCCUCUCUGAGCUAGGUGCAAGCUCCUGACGUAGGAAGCGAUCCCUCCUUGCCACAGAUAACCCACGUAGCCAGGUGCUGCCAAGCAGCUUCCACCUGGAGGAGGGCAGCUGCUCUGCGCAUGACCAGUAGCUGUGGAUGGCAUCGUCGAGGCAUCUGGAGGAAGCUGCAGCCCCACAAGGCCCCUGACCCCUCUGCCUUUCCCUCUGCUGGCUCCUCUUCCUCCCUCUUUCCCUGCUGUCCCCUGUAGAGAACUUUCUACCAGUCCACACACCAACCUAGGUGCAGCCCCCCUGCGUGACUCCCUCCCUGACUAUCAUAACCAUGGCCAGCAGUAUCUCCACAUCUCUGCCCAGAUCCCCCUGGGAAGGCUUAUCCCAGGCCCCAGGUUUGGGGCAAUGCCCAGUGGCAUCGGAUGGGGUCCCCCUUGAAAGGAAGCACAGAAAGACUGAGCCAUCAACGUAGUCCCCUCCAUCACCUGCCACUGUCCCCAAAAUCUCCCACACCGGAAGUGUUUAGAUUGUCUAAGGACAAUAUUGUCUAGGGUUUGAGGACCACCCCACAGCAAAAACACUAGAAAGCUAGUUCCAAAAUGCAAAUCCCAGGCCAAGCCCCUCACCUCCUGAGGCAGCAUCCCUGGGUAUAGAUCUCAGAAAUCUGCAGUUUUAAUACAAAGGCCCCCUAAACUUAAAGAAACAGCCUGAAUUCACAUGGGCACACCUUACCUGAGCAGGCAAUACAGUGACAAGGGUGGAAACAGAGGGGACGAGACCUGACACUGGGAAGGCCUGACAGAGGGAAGGAAGGAAAGCUCUCAGGCUAAGGGCGCUGGGAACCCCACUCUUCCCUCUAGGGAGUUGCCGUUCCCUGAGGGGCCUGAGGAGCCUCCUCCUGAAGCCCCAGCUAUUCAAAUUACACCUUUUCUUAUUAGGACAUCAGGAGGUGUUGCCCCUUAGCUUUCCAUUCUAACCUCCUCAAUGUAGGGGCCUUGCUGGUGUCGAGGACAGAGCGGAGGCCUCAAGGGUAUGUGCAGUCUAGGUGGCCUUGGUGGAGGGGCAGGAUUCUACAUUUGGGAGGGGACUUCUUGCUGAACUCCUUCCAGAUGGGUCAAAUGGGGUAGACUGAGGGAGUGGUGUGGGAGGUGGUAAAGAACCAAGUAGGGACUGGAUGGAUCCUGGGAGUUUACAGGGCUGCCUCGGAGAGGGAGGGUGCUGAGAGAGAGGAGACCAGGGUGGGCACCAACGCGAUCCCUGCAGGCUAUGAGUGUAGGAUCAGAGAGGGUUAAGGGCCAGAAGCCCCUGUGUGUUUAGGACUGUGGCACCAUGGGUGCAUCCCCUGAGAAGCGAAGCUCAGGCAGGAGCAGCAGUGGGCAAAGAGCCUGGUGGUGCAGGUGCAGGCCCUGUAGAGGAGGCAGUGACAACACCCAGCCCAGGCCGACUCUCUCUGCCUGUCCCCUGAGUCCCCUGGCACCUCUCCACAUCUGCUCAGCCCUCCCAGUUAACCUAGCACUGGUAGAUGGUUGAUAUGAUUUGGAUCUGUGUCCCCAAAUCUCAUGUUGAAUUCUAAUCCCCAGUGUUGGAGGUGGGGCCUGGUGGGAGGUGAUUGGAUCAUGGGGGUGAAUCCUUCAUGAAUGGCUUAGCUUUAUCCCCUUAAUGCUGUUCUUGUGGUAGUGAGGGAAUUCUUGCAAUAUCUGGUUGUUUAAAAGUGUGUAGCACUUCCCCCCCAACACUCUUUUGUUCCUGUUCCAACUGUGUGAAGUGCUCACUCCCCCUUUGCCUUCUGCUAUGACUGUUAAGUUUCCUGAGGCCUUCCCAGAAGCUGAGCAGGUGUCAGCAUCAUGCUUUCUGUAUAGCCUGAGGAACCAUAAGCCAAUUAAACCUCUUUUCUUUAAAAAUUACCCAGUCUGAGAUAUUUCUUUUCUUUUCUUUGAGACAGGGUCUGGCUCUGUCACCCAGGCUGGAGCGUAGCUGCACCUCUGCCUCCAGGGCUCAAGUGAUCCUCCCACCUCAGCCUCACAAGUCACUGGGACCACAGCACGUGCCACCACACCCAGCUAAUGUUUGCUUUCUUUGUAGAGACAGGGUUUCACCAUGUUGCACAGGCUGGUCUCAAACUCCUGAGCUCAUGCGAUUCUCCUGUCUUGGCCUCCCAAAGUGAUGGGAUUACAGGUUUGAGCCACUGCACUCAUCCUAGGUAUUUCUCUAUAGCAAUGCAAGAAAAACUAAUACGAAGGUGAAUCCAUCUGCAGAUCCAGACUCCACAGGAAGCCAGCAAGUGUGAUUGCGGGCUCUGCUGCAUUUCAGGGGCGGUUCUAUACUUGGCACGUGCAUGCUUUCCCCAGCCUAGCAUAUUAGCCUGCUGGGGCUACUAUAACAAAAUACCACAAACUGAGUGGCUUAAUACAACUGAAAUGCAUUCUCUCACACUUCUAGUGGCCAAAGUCCAAGAUCAAAGUUUUGGCAGGGUUGGCUCCUUCUGGACACUCAGAGGGAGAGUCUGUCCUGUGUCUCUCCCCUGGCUUCUCCUGGUUGCUGGCAACCCUUGGCAUUUUUUGCUUAUAAAUGCAUCCCUCUUAUCUCAGCCUGUACUGUCACGUGACCUUCUUCCCUGUGCAUCUGUCUCUUGUCCUCUUCUUCUAAGGACAGCAGUCAUAUUGGAUUAAGGGCCCAGCCACUCCAGCAUGACCUCCUCUUAACUUGAUGGCAUUCAAAGCCAUCAGGUUUGGAAACAAGGUCACAUUACCAGGGACCGGAGGCUAGGACUUGAAGAUACCCUUUGGGAGGAGACACCUGCAACGUUUGGAUUGGAGAAGACUCAGUGACCUUCUGGGAUGUCGUUUACCCUCCCUGGGCUGCAGCUUCCUUGUUUGUAGAGGAAGAGGUUAAAUUAAACAAUCUCUUCCAGGUCUCAUGGUCUUCGAAUCUGUUUUCUCCUCUGCUGUUUUCUCAGCUUCCUUCUCCCGAUGGAAAUAGGGGGCCAGUGUAUUUCCCCUGCCUCCCCUCCCUCUCAGCCCUGCUUUCAAGUCUUAGAGCUGGCAAGGGCUUUGUGCAAUACUCCAGGUCCUACCCUCAAUUUCUGGUGGAACAACAGAAUAAGCGGUCUCUGCAUGCACACAAAUCCCUUCAGCUCCGUCUGGGCCCAGCGGCAGCUGACCAACCAGCCCAUCACACACCUUUCUGCAGGCCCCUUCCCCGCCCGGCCUCUUUCUCUACUCUUUUUGUUUAUUUUUAUUCCCCAGUCUCUCAUCUCUCACCUAUACAGUCAAGUUUCCAGCCUCUCUUUCCACCCACUGUUCAGCCAUCAGUCAGCCUAAACAUUCUACUUUCUGCCUUUCUCCCCACAAGCAACUUUGUUUGCAGAGAACCCACAGAGUUUGACAUGUUGUCUGCAGACUCUCUGUCCACAGGCUGCAGGUGUAGUGGAGCCCGCUCCAGACUGAGACAGAGGCCCAGGUUUUUACCAGGCUGUGCUGCUGCCAGCCUGGUGUGACUACCCAUCCCACCCCCUUCGAUACCUGUGCCUCAGUUUCUCCCAUGGAUAAUGGAGUGGGACUCAAUGGGAGUAACAGACUCCAAGAACAUGAAUGGGGGUGAGCAGGGACCACCAAACACGUCCUCUGCCCAUCUCAUGUCCGACCCACUCACCUCCCAAGUAACAGGCACAACUUCACCAAAUCUGUGGCCCCCCAACUGGGUGGAUAAGGCCAGGACUUGCUUCUGAUUUGCACAGCACAUCCCCCCAGCAUUGGAAUAAAAGCUGCUCAGGAUGGCCCUCGAGAUAAGGUUUUCAGAGCUCUAGGGAUCCAGACCCAAAACUGCGGGACCUCUGAGGAAGCACAGGUUCCUGCACUGAAGGCAGAGCACUGGCCAUCUAUUUUGACUCUAAAUAUUUGGAGGAAUUCUGCGAGCUGUUUUGUAAGCUGCACUGAGGUAAUGCUGUGUCAUGGAAACCAGUGCAGGCAAGAUUUCUAGGGAGAGGCAGUGUUUACCCUUGUUACAUGGACUAGAGGUCAGCAAAAGCAGAAGCCCCUCAAGAGCGUGCGCAGAGCUGCAGAGCCUUCAACACUCCAUAUGACGCCUUCAAUAGGAAGGGAGGAAGAUAAAUAACAUGGAAACAGAGAGAAUCACCUGGACCAAUUUUGGUAUUAAAAAACCUGGAAAAAGCAUUACAUGUUUGUCUUUAAUUUUUCUGCCCUCAGAGUGAAUCUUGGUCAUCGUUACAGAACUGUAGAGCUCCAAGAUGAUACCUUUUAUUUCUAAGGAUCCUGCAUGCAGUGUGAGAAGCUGGCUGACGUUGCUAGCUCCACUUCAAAGGUAAAGAAACUGAGUCAGGCAGAGAGAGCACCAGAUCUGUCUGAGCUCAGUGGAGGCGAACAAUCAGAGACUCGACUGAAUAACAGCCUCAGAAAAAGGAUGCAGUUUAGUCUUCCAGCUACGGGCUAAGGUGUCUUAUUUUUUCUAGAGUAAUAAAAAUCAGAAUUUUAAAGUAUAUUCCCUUACUUACCCUGGAGGGCUCAAGAACUCUUUCUUCUUGCUUUUUAUGACUCCGAUUUUACCUGUAGAAGUAAGUGGCACUAUAAAUCCCAAACAGCUUCCUACCUGCUGUUCUUCCCUAGUGAGGCUUGAAGUGAUUACUAGAUAUGGUUUCAGGCUCUGCAAAAUGAUAGGAAACUUAGGGAGUUUGCUUUCUUCUCAGAUUUACCAGGAAGAGAGGGUAAUUUAAAUGGCAUUUCAUUAUCUCAAAAGAGAUGACAAUAAAUAUAUUCUUCUGUUACUGAGAACAGACAAGUAAUUUCUAUUCUUGGAGAUCUUUCCAUGGGAAUUAGAGUAAAACUUCCAAGUUCAAACAUGUUGCCUUUCCUUAUUAGAAAAUCUUGUACUAAAUUGUCACUCUUUAAAACCAGUCACAGUUGAAACUCAUCUCUUCCUUAACAAUGGGUGGAGGUAGAGAGGAGAGGAAUUCAGAACCCUACAGACCCUAAUGCCCAUGAAACCCCCCUCAUGCUUGACCACUUUAGAGGCUGUCUCCCCACUACCAGAUGGGAAGAAACUGGUUGACAAUCUGCAAGUUGUCUUAAAGAGGACAGCACCUGCUCCAGGCCCCAAGUUAUUAAGAAGUACACGUUAAACCAGAAUCUCAUUACGGCUGUCAGAAUUAUAAUGAUUGACAGCUGGAAAAUCUUAUCAUGCAUUUCCGCAGGAUUGCAGCAAAGCUUUGAUUAGCAUUUAGGCAUUCACAUUUGCAGAAGCAGCAUUUUUAUUUGCUCUUAAAUAAUUUUUUAUAACACUCAGACCCAGCACUGAAAUGCUAUAGUGUACUGAUGAGGAGGCUGGUGCCACACAAAACCAAGAUGGGCUUUGUUUUGUUUCUCCUCAAUAUUAUCCUGGCUAGCAUGACCCUGGUUUCCCAUCUCUUGGAUAAAGAAGGAGCUGAACAGAAGUUAUUCAGCUUGUGAUUUGCGCCAGGAGAUGACACAGACUUGCUCUUGACCUCUAAAAAGCACUUCCAAAUUCUCAAGUGUAAUAGAAAUGAACAGCACAGAGGAUGGUUUUAAGAUAAAUAAAUCAAAGUGCCAUCUUAAUUUACAACCAAGAAGGGGCAUGUCUAUACAUUAGACUAAAUAAAACCCCAUGGUUACAAGAAAAUUAGCAUAUGGCCAGUAAAGGUAUUUUCAUAUAAUCUCGGCUUAAUAUUUAAAGUCAUUGGUAACUAAUGGUGAAAAAUGAGAUUUUUUUUCCCCAAAACUACUCCUACUGGCAGAGAAUAUGGUACUAUUGUAUCAUAAAGGCUAUGAGCUCCACUUAUUGCCAUAGUUUUUGGAAAUAGUAAUUGUGUUGGUUUUUAGCUAUUGCUUCCCAGAUCCAAAUCCACUAUUCCAUACUGUGCUUUAUGAUUCUGGCAUUGGGAUGCCAUAAAUGUCAUUUCUCCUUUUUCUAUGCUGCUAACUGAUAUAGAGAGUUUUAUUUUCCUGAUGCCUAUUGCAAAUAAAG